AGCAGCCGCGGUAAUUCCAGCUCCAAUAGCGUAUAUUAAAGUUGUUGCAGUUAAAAGCUCGUAGUUGAAUUUCGGGAUUGGCGCAUCGGUCGUGCCUCACGGGGUAUGAACUGGUGCAGUCAAUUUCUCACCUUCUGGAGAACCGCGAUGUCCUUAAUUGGAUGCCGUGGGGAACCAGGACCUUUACUUUGAAAAAUUGAGUGUUUAAAGCAGGCAUUUUUGCUUGAAUACAUUAGCAUGGAAUAAUAAAAUAGGACGGCAUGGUUCUAUUUUGCUGGUUUCUAGGACCACCGUAAUGAUUAAUAGGGAUAGUUGGGGGCAUUAGUAUUCAAUUGUCAGAGGUGAAAUUCUUGGAUUUAUUGAAGACUAACUACUGCGAAAGCAUUUGCCAAGGAUGUUUUCAUUAAUCAAGAACGAAAGUUAGGGAUCGAAGACGAUCAGAUACCGUCGUAGUCUUAACCAUAAACUAUGACCGACUAGAAUCAGACGAUGUUAAUUUUUAAUGUACUUCGUUUGGCUA
RNAcentral lists this unclassified non-coding RNA (520 nucleotides) under uncultured Entrophospora. RNAcentral describes it as "SSU rRNA". It matches the Rfam family "Eukaryotic small subunit ribosomal RNA", at positions 569 to 1086 of the family's 1831-position model. The record is from RNAcentral. Lineage: Eukaryota; Fungi; Glomeromycota; Glomeromycetes; Entrophosporales; Entrophosporaceae.